Molecule: non-coding RNA, 1562 nt
Organism: Phascolarctos cinereus (koala)
Lineage: Eukaryota; Metazoa; Chordata; Mammalia; Diprotodontia; Phascolarctidae
Source: RefSeq, a predicted model, not a curated record
UAGAGGAAGAAGCCAGAACCCAAGAGAGGAAGGUGAUCUGCCCACGGUCACAAAGAUAAGGACUCUGUAGAGCAGAAAAGGUCACCAUUCUGCCAUAUUGAUUUCAUUGGAAGUAAAGAUUGACAAAAACACCUGCCAUGAAAACAGAACCACCAGGAUUCUAGCAAACUUCUGGACCCACAGAGCUACAGAAAUAGCCGCUGACCUGAGAGCUGGGAGUGGUUACCCCUCCUCCCCAUCCCCAAAGUCAGCUGUGUCUUUGCUCACUGCUCUGAGAAGGAACAGCUGUUAGGUCUCCCCCACGCCAUGGGCUUACUAUCGUGGUGACAGACUCAUUGUGGAUAACUGUUUGGCUUUAGCCUUACUACAGCUCAGAAUUCCCAAACUCGAGAGAUCCAGUAGCCUCAGUUUCCCAGAAGCAGGAAGAGAUUGGCUCUCCACUGCCCAGGAACCAAGUCCAUAAGUGGAAAGUCCAGCAUCAAAAUGGACUGACAUUGUGCCAGAUCCAAUCAUUGGAGCAGGAUUGCAGAUCUAAAAGCUAAAACAGACCUGUAGGUCAUCUGGUCCAGCCUCUUCAUUGGACACAUGAGGAAACCAAGACCUAGAGAGGAUGUGGAUUUGGAGUGAAGAGACAUGAGUUCAAAUUAUGAAUCUCCAUCAAUUACUGGAUGUUUGUCUGCAGCUUCUAAUAAGAUUGCCUCACAGUCUGGGCUGUGGAAGAAUCAAUGGAUCAAUAAUUACCUACUAUUAUGUGCCAGGAACUGUGUCUGGUGCUGAGGAUACAACUCCAAAAAUGAAAUAAUGCCCACUUCCGAGAAGCUUCCAUUGCCAUCCCUACCCUUUCUUUCUUUCUUUCUUUCUCCACACUUGAAUUUUUUUAUUUGAGGCUAUACCCCCCAAAAAUCAACAAAUAGCCAAAAGAAAUUGCUAUGGGAGCCGAACGUGAGUCCAUAAAGGGGAUUUUUGUUGCCACUUGGCCAACCAAAGAGCUUGGAUUGGCUCCUCCAUGGGAGAUUAUGUAAAACUAUUCAAAUCCUGACUGACAGUGUUUUCUAAACCAGCUGUUGGGCUUCAUGAACAUUUGGGAGGAGAGGAGACUGCAGGGUAAGGUCAUUAAAUCUUCCCACAUCUUUUACGGAAAGAAACAGCUGCGAUCUUCUUGCCCAGGAAGAAGUAAACAAAAAUUGGCAGCUCCUCAGCCCCAUCCAGCAGCAGGCUUUUAAGCUGUUUUUCCUCCCUGGUGUUGCAUCUGCUGCUGCCAGGUUCUGGUACCGGUAAUUCAGUUGCCCAGAUCACUGAGGGGGAGCAAGUUCUUGGAAGAGACCAUCAGCCAAUUCGGUUUGGCCAAAUCCCAUCCUGGAUGGGACUUAGAACCCAAAUGAAACAAUGAGUGGGAUCUCGGUCAACCAGUUAUUUCAAGAUGCCAUUAUCAUAGGGAAAUCAAAUUGUGUCUACUCCUUUUAGCAAGGAAAAUGUAAUGUUUCUCAAAAUCAUUCUUAGAUUUGAUAUCAAUCCAUAAAUUGAUCAACAAACAGUUAUUGAGAGUUUAUUAAAUUCCAAGC